Molecule: ribosomal RNA, 859 nt
Filed under: uncultured bacterium
Lineage: Bacteria
Description: bacterial SSU rRNA
Rfam family: Bacterial small subunit ribosomal RNA
Source: RNAcentral
AGAGUGAACGCUGGCGGCGUGCUUAACACAUGCAAGUCGAACGAGAACGGGUCAUAGCUUGCUAUGAUUGUCAGCUAAGUGGCGCACGGGUGAGUAAUAUAUAGUUAAUCUGCCCUAGAGAGAGGGAUAACAGUUGGAAACGGCUGCUAAUACCUUAUAUGCCUUUAAGACAUAAGUCUGCAAGGGAAACAUUUAUGGCUCUAGGAUGAGACUGUACGGUAUCAGCUUGUUGGUGAGGUAAUGGCUCACCAAGGCAAUGACACCUAACUGGUUUGAGAGGAUGAUCAGUCACACUGGAACUGAGACACGGUCCAGACUCCUACGGGAGGCAGCAGUGGGGAAUAUUGCACAAUGGACGAAAGUCUGAUGCAGCAACGCCGCGUGGAGGAUGACACAUUUCGGUGCGUAAACUCCUUUUAUAUAGGAAGAUAAUGACGGUACUAUAUGAAUAAGCGCCGGCUAACUCCGUGCCAGCAGCCGCGGUAAUACGGAGGGCGCAAGCGUUACUCGGAAUCACUGGGCGUAAAGAGCAUGUAGGCGGGUUAAUAAGUCAGAAGUGAAAUCCUAUAGCUCAACUAUAGAACUGCUUUUGAAACUGUUAACCUAGAAUAUGGGAGAGGUAGAUGGAAUUUCUGGUGUAGGGGUAAAAUCCGUAGAGAUCAGAAGGAAUACCGAUUGCGAAGGCGAUCUACUGGAACAUUAUUGACGCUGAGAUGCGAAAGCGUGGGGAGCAAACAGGAUUAGAUACCCUGGUAGUCCACGCCCUAAACGAUGCACACUAGUUGUUGCCAUGCUAGACAUGGCAGUAAUGCAGUUAACACAUUAAGUGUGCCGCCUGGGGAGUACGGUCGCAAGAUUA